GUGGAUUUACCUUUUUUGACUAUUCUGGAGUCUCCAUGCUUGUUGAGGUUUACAUGGACUGUAAAGGCAGGAGUGUGGAUGUAUUGUUAGCCCAUUGUACAGCUUCCUUGAUAAAAGCAAUGACGUAUUAUGGAAACCUAGACUCAGAGAAACCAAUUUUUUUUGAAUCGGUAUCUGCUGCAAUAAGUCAUAUCCAUUCAAAUAAGAAUUUGAGCAAACUCAGUGACCACAGUGAAGUCUGAGACCCUUUUGUCACAGUACAGCUCUUGUCUUUACCAACUGCCUGAAGAGGCCAUAUGCUGGCAUUUUGCACAACUUUUUGGUUGUUUAGAUCCUACAGAUGACCUCUGCUACAAUAAGUACGAUGUGACUUAGUAACUGCAUAGCAGUUGGAAAGAACUGCCAACUUUUUUUUCUCAUUUUUGUUAGUAAGAAGAUUCGCUUAGUUAUUUUAUGUAAAAAUCAGUAUGUGUUUAGUUUUAGUGUACUGAAGGGUAAACAUGGUUUUAUUUUAUUUUACCAUAUUAUUUUGUGUUGUUUUAUUUCUAUUGUGCUGUAAGUUGAUGUUUAAAAUUGAGAAAUACUUUUGUCAUAGGUAAUUUGGAACAUUUACAAGCCAUUUGUAAAAUUUUAAGAUAAUCUGUAACUAAUACAUAAAAACAACUU
This 666-nucleotide long non-coding RNA is filed under the name Homo sapiens (human). Its description in RNAcentral is "HSALNT0140245". The record is from RNAcentral. Lineage: Eukaryota; Metazoa; Chordata; Mammalia; Primates; Hominidae.